Non-coding RNA from Cinara cedri, 544 nucleotides. NCBI's taxonomy places the organism in Eukaryota, Metazoa, Arthropoda, Insecta, Hemiptera, Aphididae. The record is from the annotation of a GenBank genome assembly.
ACCCUUCAAUUUGUAGAUCAAUUAUUUUAAUUGUACACAUGUUGUUCUUUUCAAAACAGAGGACAUGUUGUUUCUUCCAUUAUCAUAUAGUCAUAACAUUAUAAAUUGGAUAAAUUGUGAUAUGAUUUAAUGUAUACUCACAGUAGUGGUUACAAAAAAACAGUAAUAGACCGAAAUUGAAAGAUAUUACUUAUAUUCAUAAUCAUGGUGAAUAUUAUAAUUUAAAGACUGAUUGACAUUGACAACAUUUAUGAACCUAGGUAACAUUUCUAUGGUAGUAGUCAAACAUUCAAUUUACAGUGAUAAACAUUUACCUUAAUGUCAAUAUGGCUAUGUACAAUUAAUAAUGGUACAAAUUAUCAUUUGAGUGUUGGAUGCAUUAAAAUGAGAUCCUGAAAUCGAAAGGUUAUAACGAGCCUAAUGAAAUAUACUGGCUCGAUAUAACCCUUCAAUUCUAACAUCUUUCAUUCUAUAAUGUUCAAAUAUCAUAGUCCUAAAUACAACAAAGGGUUCGAUUAUAAAAAUUCCUAACACUAUAUCUAAA